CUUGUACACACCGCCCGUCACACCAUGGGAGUGGGUUUCACCAGAAGUAGGUAGCCUAACCGCAAGGGGGCGCUUACCACGGUGAGAUCCAUGACUGGGGUG
RNAcentral lists this ribosomal RNA (102 nucleotides) under uncultured bacterium. Its description in RNAcentral is "partial 16S ribosomal RNA". It matches the Rfam family "Bacterial small subunit ribosomal RNA", at positions 1380 to 1482 of the family's 1533-position model. The record is from RNAcentral.